This 401-nucleotide ribosomal RNA is filed under the name Cryptosporidium parvum. RNAcentral describes it as "partial 18S ribosomal RNA". It matches the Rfam family "Eukaryotic small subunit ribosomal RNA", at positions 630 to 1054 of the family's 1831-position model. Lineage: Eukaryota; Apicomplexa; Conoidasida; Eucoccidiorida; Cryptosporidiidae. The record is from RNAcentral.
GUAGUUGGAUUUCUGUUAAUAAUUUAUAUAAAAUAUUUUGAUGAAUAUUUAUAUAAUAUUAACAUAAUUCAUAUUACUAUUUUUUUUUUUAGUAUAUGAAAUUUUACUUUGAGAAAAUUAGAGUGCUUAAAGCAGGCAUAUGCCUUGAAUACUCCAGCAUGGAAUAAUAUUAAAGAUUUUUAUCUUUUUUAUUGGUUCUAAGAUAAGAAUAAUGAUUAAUAGGGACAGUUGGGGGCAUUUGUAUUUAACAGUCAGAGGUGAAAUUCUUAGAUUUGUUAAAGACAAACUAAUGCGAAAGCAUUUGCCAAGGAUGUUUUCAUUAAUCAAGAACGAAAGUUAGGGGAUCGAAGACGAUCAGAUACCGUCGUAGUCUUAACCAUAAACUAUGCCAACUAGAGAUU